AAUAGUCCAAUGAAACUUCUGCUUUCUCUGAUACCACAGAUCUGAGAUUUGAGAUCUGAUACCACAAAUGCCUUAAUGUGGCUGGCAUUCAUGAGAAGGUAUGCAACUAUUGUUGAAAUAUGAAGAACUCAGAAUGUCAAGAGAGAAGAGGAUUAGUACUCUCACCUUUUGGAAGAUGAGUUUCUUGCCCUUGAUGCCCAUCCAUGCUUGAGCAAGAAAGAGGAAAAGAAAGAUGGAAGCUGAGGAAUGAUGAAGACAAUGGAAUCAAAGGCAAUUGGCAUAUGGAAGUAACCAUGGAAUCCUCUAGAGGUUACUUAAACUCCCCCAAAUUCUGUACUGGGGCCCUUGGGCCCUUAUGCUCAGCCCGCUCCCACACUGUGGAGUAUACUUUCAUUUUCA
RNAcentral lists this long non-coding RNA (399 nucleotides) under Homo sapiens (human). RNAcentral's name for it is "HSALNT0093918". The record is from RNAcentral. Lineage: Eukaryota; Metazoa; Chordata; Mammalia; Primates; Hominidae.